AGGUUAAUAAAAUUAGGCCAAGUGGACAAAACGUGAUGACUAUGGUCAUUGUGUUUGUGAGAAAAUUAUUGAAGGAAGAAGUUGUGUUAGAUACAUUAGUGGUAUGUUGUACUUGUAGCAGUUUAGAGAGCUUGGAUAGCUCACAAGUAGCUGCAGUUGAGGCUACUACUGAGAGUCUGAGAGAGUUUGUUUUAUUUUUAAGAGUUUUGUUUGUUUAAAGUACUUUUGUUAAGAGUUUGUUUAGCUUGUACUUAAGUUGGAUAGUAGAAAACAUAAUUUUUUGUGUUUAUUUUUUUUAAAUUAAAAAUGCACCAGAGUGGUUCUCCCUUC
Long non-coding RNA from Dendrobium catenatum, 330 nucleotides. RefSeq lists it as uncharacterized. NCBI's taxonomy places the organism in Eukaryota, Viridiplantae, Streptophyta, Magnoliopsida, Asparagales, Orchidaceae. The record is from RefSeq and is a predicted model, not a curated record. The transcript is spliced from 2 exons.